Molecule: ribosomal RNA, 880 nt
Filed under: uncultured eukaryote
Lineage: Eukaryota
Description: SSU rRNA
Rfam family: Eukaryotic small subunit ribosomal RNA
Source: RNAcentral
CGGUGUUCAACUGGCGUGUCCGCGGGACGUCCUGCCGGUGGGCUUAGCCCGCAAGGGCGGCCCAACUUCAAAUCCCAUCGCGGUGCUCUUCACUGAGUGUCGAGGUGGGCCGGCACGUUUACUUUGAACAAAUUAGAGUGCUUAAAGCAGGCUAAAACUUCGCCUGAAUACUGUGUGCAUGGAAUAAUGGAAUAGGACCUCGGUUCUAUUUUGUUGGUUUUCGGAACCCCGAGGUAAUGAUUAAUAGGAACGGAUGGGGGCAUUCGUAUUGCGACGUUAGAGGUGAAAUUCUUGGAUCGUCGCAAGACGGACAGAAGCGAAAGCAUUUGCCAAAAACGCUUUCAUUGAUCAAGAACGAAAGUUAGAGGUUCGAAGGCGAUCAGAUACCGCCCUAGUUCUACCCAUAAACGAUGCCAGCUAGCGAUCCGUCGACGUUCCUCCGAUGACUCGACGGGCAGCUUCCGGGAAACCAAAGCUUUUGGGUUCCGGGGGAAGUAUGGUUGCAAAGCUGAAACUUAAAGGAAUUGACGGAAGGGCACCACCAGGAGUGGAGCCUGCGGCUUAAUUUGACUCAACACGGGAAACCUCAUCAGGCCCGGACACCGGAAGGGAUUGACAGAUUGAGAGCUCUUUCUUGAUUCGGUGGGUGGGUGGUGCAUGGGCCGUUCUUAGUUGGUGGAGCGAUUUGUCUGGUUAAUUCCGAUAACGAACGAGACUCUAGCCUGCUAACUAGGCGUAUUUUCGACAUCUCAAAGGUCCGUCGUCCCGGCCCUCGGGUCGUGGGCGUGCGCGAUUUUUACUGUCGGCGUACUAUCAAUUCUUCUUAGAGGGACAGGUGGCUUCUAGCCGCACGAGAUUGAGCAAUAACAGGUCUGUGAUG